GCGCUUUUAGCUCAGAUGGAUAGAGCAUCGGCUUCCUAAGCUGAGGGUCACAGGUUCGAAUCCUGUAAGGCGCACCA
This 77-nucleotide transfer RNA is filed under the name Sulfuricurvum sp. Its description in RNAcentral is "tRNA-Arg". It matches the Rfam family "tRNA". Rfam says of the family: Transfer RNA (tRNA) molecules are approximately 80 nucleotides in length. Their secondary structure includes four short double-helical elements and three loops (D, anti-codon, and T loops). Lineage: Bacteria; Pseudomonadati; Campylobacterota; Epsilonproteobacteria; Campylobacterales; Sulfurimonadaceae. The record is from RNAcentral.